GGAAGAAACAAUCCUUCUCAAGAGCAAUCAAACCGAAAUUCGCCUUACCGGUGAUGGGAAUUCGCCGGCGAUCCUCGAACUUUGAGCUCUUCCGAUCGCACAAGUAAAUAGAAAUUUGGUUCGGAGAAAUUCCGAUCCUCUGGCUGAGCAUCAACUGAAACGCCUUGAAUUCAAGCAUAGGGUAGACACGUAUACUCCCAAUAUUCAUCUCCCUCUCUCCGUCAAAAAACACAACCGUAAACUCCGGUCCAGCACCGCCUUCCACCAUAUUGACUCCGGCAGAUGACUUCAGUUCCCGGUGAACCAAACACAUUAAAAAUGGGAAAAGGAGAGUUCUGAAAAGGAAGUACACAGGGGUUUAUAUAUACAGGGAAGAGAGGUGGGGUUUAAGGGAGGGGUUGAUUAGUAAAUAAGAUAAGGCGGUGGGGGGUAAUUGUGGGAAUAAAGUAUUGGUAUAGAAGAAGACAGAGUAGCUUCCAGAUGCUUUUAUGGGAGGAAGAAAAGGGGAUUG
This 511-nucleotide long non-coding RNA is filed under the name Nicotiana benthamiana. RNAcentral describes it as "long non-coding RNA (NBEN_LNC018263)". The record is from RNAcentral. Lineage: Eukaryota; Viridiplantae; Streptophyta; Magnoliopsida; Solanales; Solanaceae.